UGUGACGUAAAGAGGGGACACAAGGCAGGUGCUUAUCUCUCGGCAGUCAAAGGCACUGGAUGUCAUAUCAUGGGAACUACCUUCCAAAGAAACAGCUUUAGUGUUUCCGUUCAGCACACAAGGGAGGAGAGAAAUAUAAGUUUUGGAAACGAACAAAAAAGGUGGCCAUUGCUAUUCUGCUAUAACAUCAACCAAGCCCUCAAUUUUGUGAGAUUCCUUGAAAGAUUGUGAAAAGUCCAUUUUACGUGGCCGUGUGCUCAUACCAAGUCUAAGGAAACUAGACCUGAGGGUGAUGUUUGGAGUUUGAAUUAACGCCCAACUUCUGAGAGGAGGCUGCUGGGCAUUUGCACCGGACGAGUCC
This is a long non-coding RNA of Capra hircus (goat), 361 nucleotides long. RefSeq lists it as uncharacterized. The transcript has 4 exons. NCBI's taxonomy places the organism in Eukaryota, Metazoa, Chordata, Mammalia, Artiodactyla, Bovidae. The record is from RefSeq and is a predicted model, not a curated record.